UACGUAGGUGGCAAGCGUUGUCCGGAUUUAUUGGGCGUAAAGCGCGCGCAGGCGGUCUUUUAAGUCUGAUGUGAAAUCUCGCGGCUCAACCGUGAGCGGUCAUUGGAAACUGGAAGACUUGAGUACAGAAGAGGAGAGUGGAAUUCCACGUGUAGCGGUGAAAUGCGUAGAUAUGUGGAGGAACACCAGUGGCGAAGGCGACUCUCUGGUCUGUAACUGACGCUGAGGCGCGAAAGCGUGGGGAGCGAACAGGAUUAGAUACCCUGGUAGUCCACGCCGUAAACGAUGAGUGCUAGGUGUUAGGGGUUUCGAUGCCCUUAGUGCCGAAGUUAACACAUUAAGCACUCCGCCUGGGGAGUACGACCGCAAGGUUGAA
Molecule: ribosomal RNA, 376 nt
Filed under: uncultured bacterium
Lineage: Bacteria
Description: bacterial SSU rRNA
Rfam family: Bacterial small subunit ribosomal RNA
Source: RNAcentral